Molecule: ribosomal RNA, 468 nt
Filed under: uncultured bacterium
Lineage: Bacteria
Description: partial 16S ribosomal RNA
Rfam family: Bacterial small subunit ribosomal RNA
Source: RNAcentral
GACGAACGCUGGCGGCGUGCUUAACACAUGCAAGUCGAACGGAAAGGCCCUGCUUUUGUGGGGUGCUCGAGUGGCGAACGGGUGAGUAACACGUGAGUAACCUGCCCUUGACUUUGGGAUAACUUCAGGAAACUGGGGCUAAUACCGGAUAGGAGCUCCUGCUGCAUGGUGGGGGUUGGAAAGUUUCGGCGGUUGGGGAUGGACUCGCGGCUUAUCAGCUUGGUUGUGGGGUAGUGGCUUACAAAGGCGUUGACGGGGAGCCGGCCUGAGAGGGUGGACAGCCACAAUAGGACUGAGAGAGGGCCCAGACUCCAACGUUAGGCAGCAGUGGGGAAUAUUGCACAAUGGGCGGAAGCCUGAUGCAGAAACGCCGCGUGCGGGAUGACGGCCUUCGGGUUGUAAACCGCUUUCGCCUGUGACGAAGCGUGAGUGACGGUAACGGGUAAAGAAGCACCGGCUAACUACGUG